CCAAGGAGUCUAACAUGUGCGCGAGUCGCAGGGUGCUCGCAAAAUAAAAAAAACCCGAACCCCGAAGGCGCAAUGAAAGUGAAGGUCGGUGGUCUGACUGACCGAGGCGGGAUCCGUUCCGGGCAUCGAUCGCAAACGGAGUCGUCAGGCUUCUAGUUUGCGGCGAGCCCGGCGGCGCACCGCCGGCCCGUCUCGACCGCUUCUUGUCGGCGAGGCGGAGCAAGAGCGCACACGUUGGGACCCGAAAGAUGGUGAACUAUGCUCGGGCAGGACGAAGCCAGAGGAAACUCUGGUGGAGGUCCGUAGCGAUUCUGACGUGCAAAUCGAUCGUCGGACCCGAGUAU
RNAcentral lists this ribosomal RNA (344 nucleotides) under Cormocephalus sp. B JAH-2019. RNAcentral describes it as "partial large subunit ribosomal RNA". It matches the Rfam family "Eukaryotic large subunit ribosomal RNA", at positions 666 to 918 of the family's 3401-position model. Lineage: Eukaryota; Metazoa; Arthropoda; Chilopoda; Scolopendromorpha; Scolopendridae. The record is from RNAcentral.